UACGUAGGGUGCGAGCGUUGUCCGGAAUUACUGGGCGUAAAGAGCUCGUAGGUGGUUUUGUCGCGUUGUUCGUGAAAACUCACAGCUUAACUGUGGGCGUGCGGGCGAUACGGGCAGACUGGAGUACUGCAGGGGAGACUGGAAUUCCUGGUGUAGCGGUGGAAUGCGCAGAUAUCAGGAGGAACACCGGUGGCGAAGGCGGGUCUCUGGGCAGUAACUGACGCUGAGGAGCGAAAGCGUGGGGAGCGAACAGG
RNAcentral lists this ribosomal RNA (254 nucleotides) under uncultured bacterium. RNAcentral's name for it is "partial 16S ribosomal RNA". It matches the Rfam family "Bacterial small subunit ribosomal RNA", at positions 524 to 776 of the family's 1533-position model. The record is from RNAcentral.